CUACACACUUUUCAUUCUCUGCUAAUCAAUUAUAUGAAGCAUAUUUUUUUCGGAGAAAGAAAUUCAUCAAUUAAAAAUUUCAGAAAUUUCGUGUUUCACAUAUCCUGCAUUGCAAUUUUCUUGAUCAUGACGAGAACAGCUCCAAUUUCAACUUUGUUUCAGAUUUUUCGAAUGGUUCGGUGAAAAUUACUUUUCUGAGGAAGAAAAAAAGAAAUACCGGGAUCGGGUUUUAACGCGAGGGGUCUUGCCCCAAUUUGAUGGUAUGCUCUAUCUGGAGUGGGAAAAUGACAGCCUUGGCGAGGCUUGUGGAUGCUGGAAGUUUCCCACGAACUGCAAGAGGUACUGAAUAAGCUCGGUGAAUGGGAGUACUUAACUGGAGGAGUGGUUCAGUGUUUUGCAUUAUUCCCCACCUUAGCAAUCAGCAACAUAUGAAUCUAUGAUAACCUUUUUGUGUGGUAUUUUAUCUUUUAAAAGGCCUCCCCAAUCUGUAUGAAUCUCUGUAGCAUCCGAGCAGAAGCCUCGGCGGGAAGUGCUACUUAAUUUUUGAUUUCAUGUCUUGUUUCCAUGUGUUUAUCUCCUCUCUUCCAUCUGUUGCAUGCACAAGCACCCCCAUUUCCCUUGUGAUGCUAUACAUGACCAAAUUGUGGCAUCUUUCUCAACUUAAUAGCAGAACUUUUGAUCAGUACUGAACCAUAAGCUUCUAUUAUACACCCUUAUUAUUUUGUUUUAUUAUUUUUGUUUCGUCCAGCUAGGAAAGACCAAAUUUAGAUUGUGAAUUAAGCAAUUUGAUAUUUAAAGUGCAACUUCCGCUCCAUUCUGUCUCUUUUACAGAGGAAGCGAGCUACCAGAAGUUGGCUGCACAAUCCAUAGGGAGAGAAUUACAAGAUGCAGAUGAAGCAAAUUUGAUUAAUGAAGAAGGUCUGUAUAUUCAUUCAUGUCUAAAGUAAAGAUGGCAAUUAUUUUCUUAAUUCUCCUUUACACAGUCCCAGUUAUGAUAGGUCGCACGAAGGUGCUAAUCCUUUUCAUAUGCCGACAUAAUUGUGUUGCACUAUCUUGUCCUAGGAUCUUUUGUAUAUGAUUUUGGCUUCUGAUUUGUCAAUGUUGUUGUGGUUGAUUUUCUCUCGUAGAUAUGCAUAUUUUUGGUUUGAGACCAAUGGCAGAUUAUUUAGAUUUGGUAUGCUGUAAUGCUUGCAAGAAGCCAAUCAAGGCCAGCCAUUAUGCAAUGCAUGCAGAGCUCUGCAAGUCUCUAAGUUCUAGAGCAGAAAUCAACGUGGAACUUGAUGGUCCUGCAGUGACUAAAAAACCUCCAAGGAAGGAGAGGAAAAAGUCACAGAUUACUCAGAGUAAAAAGGCCAAAUCACUCAGAGAGACCAAAAACUCUUGUUCUGUAGACUCUUGUGAUGUAGCUGCACCAGGAUAUCAUAUAGAUGCAAAAAGCCAAAUCAGUCUCUUCCCUGAAGCUCGAAGAGAAAUGCAUAUGAAUUCCACUGACAAAAUGAAUGGCUCAACAGUGAACCCUUACAGUAUGGACUGUGUACAAGAUGUAACUAAACACUCAUUGAAACCACUAAAAAGGACUUCAGCUGAGAAUCAAUCAAAUCAAGGUACAGAGAAUUUCUACAAGCCAGCUGCUGAGCUUCUUCCAUAUGUUCCAGCUCCCCUUGCGACCAAAAUAUACUAUUCCCAAAGAAAUCACAAUCUCCGAAGAGCCAUUUCUCGCAUGUUCUUUGAGGAACCAGACAAAGAGUUCAGCAAUGAGGUUCCAUCCUCAGAAGAAUAUCAAGUAAAUGUGGCUCUAGGAAAAACUUCUUGUCUUGAAACUUUUUGCCAUGAACAAGUUGCACGUCAUCAGAGAGACAGCAAUUUUUUGCUCUUUGCUCAAACGACUGCUCACAUUCUUUCAGCAAGGUCAAACUUCUACAUGGGCGAGCAGGAGCAUUUGAACCAUCCAUGACCUCAGUUGCUCAGCUCCCUGUGAUUAAUACUAUAGGACCUCAUUAUAUAUCGAAUUCUUAUUCAUUUUCUGACCAACCAGGUACUCUUCAGCCGAGCAGUGGAAGUGUUCCGGUUGUAUAGGACUCAGCAUGGAGAAUUUGCUCGGUACAGCUGUUACUCCUUUUGCUCUAACUGAUGACUUAGGCUAAACUUGAUCAGGAAAAAAGAAAAGAUGCACAGUGCUAGCAUAAUAACAUUUAACUGUGAUCACGUUGCACCCACUACUAAUUUCAAGACCAGUGUGUAUAGGCUGCUUCUAAUAUUGUGAAUACGCAAUACUCUCCCAGAUCUUAUGUUAAUACAAAAACACCAACAUGGAAUCAUCCGUCAUUUUCUAAGUAGUCGACUAGAACCAA
RNA transcript from Salvia splendens (bonfire salvia), 2351 nucleotides. RefSeq lists it as uncharacterized. The record is from RefSeq and is a predicted model, not a curated record. NCBI's taxonomy places the organism in Eukaryota, Viridiplantae, Streptophyta, Magnoliopsida, Lamiales, Lamiaceae. The transcript is spliced from 11 exons.